AACGGAUCCAUAGAUUUUCUUCAUUUUUGGCAUGAAGCUAGAUAAUAUGGUCAGCUACAACAUAUGAAAAAAUGAAAAAAAUUUAUGUCGUCGUUUUCGAGAUAUUCAUCGAAAACUAAUCGAAAAUUUUGUUUUUGAUUUUUGGCCCCCUAGCGGUCACUUUUGAAACUUCGGAUGUUCUAGAGAGUUGUAGGGUUUUUUGAGAUCUUUCAUUUGACCCCGGGUUGAUCAAAAUCGGUCAAGCCGUUUUCGAGUUAUGGUCGAUUUUCGAUGAAAAAUUGUGGCGGCCAUAUUGACUAAACGGCUUGACCGAUUUUCGAAAAUGAGGUAUCGUUGGAAAGCUCUUGAUGGCCCCUACAACAUAUCAAAAUUUCAGACCUCUACCUAUAAUAGGGGCUGAGAUAUAGCGAAAACAAAAUUUUGAGGUUAUUCAAAAUGGCGGACGGGGGGGUGGGGGGUAAAAUUUGACGUCAUAAUCGGACGUCUUCCAGUCGACUUUUAAACUUUGCCGUUUACCGCAAGUCUCUAUCUAUUACCGUUCUCUUGCAAUUUAAGGUUGAACCACGGCGGACGGCCGGCCGGACAAAAAAUUUUUUUGGCGCAUACGUUUUUUUUGGAAUGUGGGGACCCUAAUUCGUGCUCAUCCCAAGUUUGAGCCCGAUCUGACGACUUUCGAUUUUGCUCGGUACACAAAAGCUGUGUCUGAAAGAAACACAGCUAAAAAAGUGGUAGAGAGUUAGUGAGAAGAAGAAGAAUAUAGGGUAAAUAACACUGAAGGAAAUAAUGUGGAUAAGAGUGAUGGAUUCAAUAAAAAAGGACAUUAAUUGAA
Lutzomyia longipalpis is the source of this 829-nucleotide long non-coding RNA. RefSeq lists it as uncharacterized. The record is from RefSeq and is a predicted model, not a curated record. The transcript is spliced from 2 exons. Lineage: Eukaryota; Metazoa; Arthropoda; Insecta; Diptera; Psychodidae.